GUUCAAGUGGAUUUUGGUUUAAGUGAUAUAUAACAUGCAUGAGAUUCUUCAUCUCAAGGUCGUGGGUUCAAGCCCCACGUUGGGCA
Molecule: non-coding RNA, 86 nt
Organism: Podarcis lilfordi (Lilford's wall lizard)
Lineage: Eukaryota; Metazoa; Chordata; Lepidosauria; Squamata; Lacertidae
Source: the annotation of a GenBank genome assembly